AACGAACGCUGGCGGCAGGCCUAACACAUGCAAGUCGAGCGAGGACUUCGGUCCUAGCGGCGGACGGGUGAGUAACGCGUGGGAACGUGCCCUUUGAUUCGGAAUAGCCCUGGGAAACUGGGAGUAAUACCGGAUGAGCCCUUUGGGGGAAAGAUUUAUCGGCGAAGGAUCGGGCCGCGUUGGAUUAGGGAGUUGGCGAGGUAAUGGCCUACCAAGCCGACGAUCCAUAGCUGGUUUGAGAGGAUGAUCCACCACACUGGGACUGGGACACGGCCCAGACUCCUGCGGGAGGGAGCAGUGGGGAAUCUUAGACAAUGGGGGAAACCCUGAUCUAGCCGUGCCGGGUGGGCGAUGAAGGCCUUAGGAUUGUAAAGCUCUUUCAGCUGUGAAGAUAAUGACGGUACCAGCAGAAGAAGCCCCGGCUAACUCCGUG
This 433-nucleotide ribosomal RNA is filed under the name uncultured bacterium. RNAcentral's name for it is "partial 16S ribosomal RNA". It matches the Rfam family "Bacterial small subunit ribosomal RNA", at positions 29 to 507 of the family's 1533-position model. The record is from RNAcentral.